UCUCCGUUGGUGAACCAGCGGAGGGAUCAUUAUCGAGUUUAUAACUCCCAAACCCUAUGUGAACUUACCACUUGUUGCCUCGGCGCGCGCUUCGGCGCCGCCGAGGACACUUAAACUCUUUGUUUUUAUAAGCAUUUCUGAGUGGCCGAAAGGCAAAAUACAAAUGAAUCAAAACUUUCAACAACGGAUCUCUUGGUUCUG
This 201-nucleotide unclassified non-coding RNA is filed under the name plant metagenome. Its description in RNAcentral is "partial contains small subunit ribosomal RNA, internal transcribed spacer 1, and 5.8S ribosomal RNA". The record is from RNAcentral.